Molecule: long non-coding RNA, 2733 nt
Filed under: Amphimedon queenslandica
Lineage: Eukaryota; Metazoa; Porifera; Demospongiae; Haplosclerida; Niphatidae
Description: uncharacterized LOC109585732, transcript variant X2
Source: RNAcentral
UAUAACAUGUACCGUAUCUCUCUGUCAUUUGUGCCUAAGACCCUGUACUUUUUGACCCAAUUUGACUUUGAGCAACUUUAAAAAUUUAUUAAAUCUUGAUUUAAUAACUUUAAAAGUGAAAAUUGUCUUUUGACAAAAUAGUAGCUUUAGCAUAAUUUGACGUACAAUAUGUGUGAGAAAUUUUGUCACUUUUGGGAAAAUUGUUGGCCCAGUUUGAGGUUAAAUUUACCAGAUUUCAUGUGAGAAAUGUUUAGCUCACUUUGAUGUAAAAGCUACUCAGUUUUGAACAUUGAAGAGAGUAAAACUGACAUUGAUCGAAAAAUAAAUUUUAAAUUGUCACAUUGUUUAGUUGGGGCAAGCUUGGGCAAGCUCCACUGUAGCAGGAGUCUUCUGUAUGUAUGUAUGCGUACGUCUGCAGUCAUGCCCAUCUUCUGGUCACACCCCAUGUGUGCACUACUAUCUAUUUAUCGGUCAAUGAUCUAAUGCGGUAGCUCGUUCUAGUGAAAUAUUGUAAAAACACAUGUGCAUGUAUGAAGCAAGAAAAAAUCUCAAGAUCAACCUCAACGACUUAGCUUGAAUGAAAAGGAUGCUCUUCUUGCUCAGCUCAGAUGGUUAUGAUUGCGUCCCAGACUCAAGAUUUAACUAGAAAAGCAGCCUAGCUAGCAGCAGAGAAGAGAAGUGGGAGGAGUUGUUGUAUGCUAGACCACUCCCUGAUGCUCAUAAAGACAACAUACAUGUAAAGGUUGUUUGUUUGUCAUAAAGACAACAUACAUGUAAAGGUUGUUUGUUUGUUAAUUUACUUGUUUGUGUAGGGUUAAUUGUCUUGUUAACUUGAUAAACCUGGGCGAGCUAACAGUAAAUAUACUAUCAUUUUAUUAAUGUUAGGUUUUAUUGAUUAUUAUUAAUAUAACCACUAAAUAAUUAGCUAUUAUUAUUGUUAAUUUCAGGAUGUUUAGUUGUUGUUCAAGUUUUAUAAUUUAGAGUUGGGAAUGAUGACUACAUCAUAUCAGUAGUGGAUAAAUCCAUUGAGUUUAUAAACAGUUUAAAUGAUGAGUUACUUAAGAAGGAGGCAACCACUGACUCAAGGAGUGAGACCUUCUCUUCAAUAAUGAAAUGAUGGUAUUGAUCUGUUGGUCAAUCAGCCUCCUUUAAGGAACAACUGCUUUCUUUACAGUACUUUAAAGAACUUCAAAGUACUUACAAGCACUGAAGUACCGGCCACUACCACCAAGCACUUUGUGAAGUACUUAAGAAUAAGUACAAGUACAGCAAGUUAAUGUAAAAUACUCUGUAAAGUACUCCUCUCCUCUACUCAUACAAGUACUCUGAACACUGUACUUAAGUAUUAAUGUACCUCACCCCAUCCCUGGUUAAUAAUAGGGGGCCUCCCUCUCAUUAAGGAGGGGGAAGGGGGUAAUGGUGUCUCCCUCUUGUUUUGGUUAAUUUGUUCUCUGUUGUAGGCUAAGAUUGUUUGACAGUGGUGUUCUAGUAGUAGAGUCACUCAGCUUGAAAGAAGAAGUCAUUAUUGAAGAGACAGUAAAAAUGGUUAGUUAUAAAGUACUGUCUAGACAUUAGUUAUAAAGAUGCUAUAUAUAAAUGCAUGUAUGUAUUUAUACUAUCAUUAGUUUGUAGGUACAGGAUAAUGGUAGUCUGACAGCACAGGAGCUAUCUAAUCAUGCUGGUGUAUCCAUAAUGUUGGCAACUGAACAGUAUGCCGCCUAUGUGGAGGCUGUCCAGUUAUUACAAGAGAAGAUGGAUGGCUCUCCUACCAGAAGAGACAUUGUCACUAUGAUGCAGUUAAUUAUGCAUGCGCAUGUACAUGUAGCUAGAGGAGUCAAUCAUAGGUGUACAAUGUACAUACCGUAUAUGGAGCGCCAAAGUGGACAAAAUUCCUGAUCCAUGAUAUACAUAUGGAGAGGUAAUUAUGGCGAUACGCAAAGCGCAUCGCCUCAUUAAUGCAUUGAUUUCAUGAUCAAUUUUUGAAUCGAUUAUCUACACGUCACUAAUGGCAAUGCAUGUAUUAUGCAUAAUUAAUGACCUAUCAUCAGGCCACGCCUAUUGUGAGCGUGCCUUGUCUUGAGAAACAAGAUGGCGUCGAUGUUUUCAAAACAGUUGUACUUGAAGUUACUUACAUUAUGUAGUUUCUUAGCUGUGUGAGAACCUGAAACACUCAUUUAGAGGUUUUUCAUUCAUUAAACUGAACCCGAGAUAGUCAAAUGGUUACUUGGUUAGCCCUGAAAGGCCGGAAUUGUUAAACUGUAAGGAGUUGUUCCAAGUCAGAAGACUAUAGUACCAUACCAAGCAAAAGGAAAAGAACACAACCAAAAGAAGUGAAAAGGAUUAAAGAAUGCAAAGAUGUCAUUGAUUCACUACAAUUUGACAGUGAAGCAACUGAAUCAAGGUUAUAGGAUAGACUGGGAAAGCCCAAUGGCAAUGAGUGCCAAUGAAAUUGUUCUGCCCGCUAUACUGUGUCUUAUUACCGAUGAGCAGCUUUUGCAGCAAUACUGGUUUCAGUGUACAUUGUUUGUGAAUGCUUUAUAAUUUAAUAAAUUAUGUUUCUGUCUCUUUCAAGCUUAGGAUUUACACUACUGACAUCAAGCCUUUCAUUCAAAUAAGGUGAAGUUCAAGGCAGACAAGAACACAUGUGUAUAAUAACAUUUAUGAUUGCUGUGCUUUACUAAUUAUGACUAAAAUUAUUACUAAAAAUACCUUUACUAAUGCAGCACAUGACAA